This 586-nucleotide ribosomal RNA is filed under the name uncultured bacterium. Its description in RNAcentral is "bacterial SSU rRNA". It matches the Rfam family "Bacterial small subunit ribosomal RNA", at positions 339 to 916 of the family's 1533-position model. The record is from RNAcentral.
CUACGGGAGGCAGCAGUAGGGAAUCUUCCGCAAUGGACGAAAGUCUGACGGAGCAACGCCGCGUGAACGAUGAAGGCCUUCGGGUCGUAAAGUUCUGUUGUCAGGGAAGAACAAGUACCGGAGUAACUGCCGGUACCUUGACGGUACCUGACCAGAAAGCCACGGCUAACUACGUGCCAGCAGCCGCGGUAAUACGUAGGUGGCAAGCGUUGUCCGGAAUUAUUGGGCGUAAAGCGCGCGCAGGCGGUUCCUUAAGUCUGAUGUGAAAGCCCCCGGCUCAACCGGGGAGGGUCAUUGGAAACUGGGGGACUUGAGUGCAGAAGAGGAGAGUGGAAUUCCACGUGUAGCGGUGAAAUGCGUAGAGAUGUGGAGGAACACCAGUGGCGAAGGCGACUCUCUGGUCUGUAACUGACGCUGAGGCGCGAAAGCGUGGGGAGCAAACAGGAUUAGAUACCCUGGUAGUCCACGCCGUAAACGAUGAGUGCUAAGUGUUAGAGGGUUUCCACCCUUUAGUGCUGCAGCUAACGCAUUAAGCACUCCGCCUGGGGAGUGCGGCCGCAAGGCUGAAACUCAAAGGAAUUGACGG